This 406-nucleotide ribosomal RNA is filed under the name uncultured bacterium. RNAcentral describes it as "bacterial SSU rRNA". It matches the Rfam family "Bacterial small subunit ribosomal RNA", at positions 354 to 777 of the family's 1533-position model. The record is from RNAcentral.
GUGGGGGAUAUUGCACAAUGGGGGAAACCCUGAUGCAGCGACGCCGCGUGUGGGAAGACGGUCCUCUGGAUUGUAAACCACUGUCCUCAGGGACGAAGAUGACGGUACCUGAGGAGGAAGCUCCGGCUAACUACGUGCCAGCAGCCGCGGUAAUACGUAGGGAGCGAGCGUUGUCCGGAAUUACUGGGUGUAAAGGGAGCGUAGGCGGGGACGCAAGUUGGAUGUGAAAUCUACCGGCUCAACUGGUAGCUGCAUUCAAAACUGCGACUCUUGAGUGGAGUAGAGGCAGGCGGAAUUCCUAGUGUAGCGGUGAAAUGCGUAGAUAUUAGGAGGAACACCAGUGGCGAAGGCGGCCUGCUGGGCUUUUACUGACGCUGAGGCUCGAAAGUGUGGGGAGCAAACAGGA